Long non-coding RNA from Lineus longissimus, 476 nucleotides. RefSeq lists it as uncharacterized. The record is from RefSeq and is a predicted model, not a curated record. The transcript has 4 exons. Lineage: Eukaryota; Metazoa; Nemertea; Pilidiophora; Heteronemertea; Lineidae.
UCCGAAAUUUUGAUUACAUGCCUUUAUUCUGGUAGGAUAAUACAUGAAAUUCACUUUUUCGAUAGUCUGUGAAGUAAAAGUACACGUGGGCUCAAUCUGGCUGCUUGUAAUAGGCAUUAAGACGACUCUUGGUGAUAUUUAUGUAGAUAGGAGAAAUCGUUGGAGCAGUUGAAAUCAUGUAGUGAACCAGCCCAGCUGACUGAAGUUUGUGCCACCACGACUAAAAGGGAUUUUUAUGCAUAAUGAAAUCGUUGGAGCAGUUGAAAUCGUUGGAGCAGUUGAAAACAUGGAGUGAACUAGAACAGCUGUGACAGGAAUCCUUGUGCCGCAUCUCACGAAAUCGUCCAGUCUCUCCAUCCAUUCGAUACCACAGCCUUGAAGUCUCUCACUCUCACUCUUCAUCUCCGCUUUCUUACAAACCUUAUUUCCUCUGUAUAUAUUUGAAUGAUCAACAUGAAUAAACUAAUUACUGAUCA